GGAGGUGUGGCUCAGUUGGCAGAGUGCUUGCCUAGCAUGCCUUAAGUCCUUAGUUUGAAACUCAGCACUUCCU
This 73-nucleotide transfer RNA is filed under the name Mesocricetus auratus (golden hamster). It matches the Rfam family "tRNA". Rfam says of the family: Transfer RNA (tRNA) molecules are approximately 80 nucleotides in length. Their secondary structure includes four short double-helical elements and three loops (D, anti-codon, and T loops). Further hydrogen bonds mediate the characteristic L-shaped molecular structure. tRNAs have two regions of fundamental functional importance: the anti-codon, which is responsible for specific mRNA codon recognition, and the 3' end, to which the tRNAs corresponding amino acid is attached (by aminoacyl-tRNA synthetases). tRNAs cope with the degeneracy of the genetic code in two manners: having more than one tRNA (with a specific anti-codon) for a particular amino acid; and 'wobble' base-pairing, i.e. permitting non-standard base-pairing at the 3rd anti-codon position. The record is from Rfam by way of RNAcentral. Lineage: Eukaryota; Metazoa; Chordata; Mammalia; Rodentia; Cricetidae.